GAGGGUAUAGCUCAACCGGCAGAGUGCAUGCUUAGCAUGCACGAGGUCCUGGGUUCAAUCCCCUGUACCCCUC
Transfer RNA from Camelus ferus (Wild Bactrian camel), 73 nucleotides. It matches the Rfam family "tRNA". Rfam says of the family: Transfer RNA (tRNA) molecules are approximately 80 nucleotides in length. Their secondary structure includes four short double-helical elements and three loops (D, anti-codon, and T loops). The record is from Rfam. NCBI's taxonomy places the organism in Eukaryota, Metazoa, Chordata, Mammalia, Artiodactyla, Camelidae.